Molecule: ribosomal RNA, 478 nt
Filed under: uncultured bacterium
Lineage: Bacteria
Description: partial 16S ribosomal RNA
Rfam family: Bacterial small subunit ribosomal RNA
Source: RNAcentral
GACGAACGCUGGCGGCGUGCUUAACACAUGCAAGUCGAACGGUAAGGCCCUUCGGGGUACACGAGUGGCGAACGGGUGAGUAACACGUGGGUGAUCUGCCCUGCACUUCGGGAUAAGCCUGGGAAACUGGGUCUAAUACCGGAUAGGACCACUGCCUGCAUGGGUGGUGGUGGAAAGCUUUUGUGGUGUGGGAUGGGCCCGCGGCCUAUCAGCUUGUUGGUGGGGUGAUGGCCUACCAAGGCGACGACGGGUAGCCGGCCUGAGAGGGUGACCGGCCACACUGGGACUGAGAUACGGCCCAGACUCCUACGGGAGGCAGCAGUGGGGAAUAUUGCACAAUGGGCGCAAGCCUGAUGCAGCGACGCCGCGUGAGGGAUGAAGGCCUUCGGGUUGUAAACCUCUUUCAGCAGGGAAUAAGCGAAAGUGAAGGUACCUGCAGAAGAAGCACCGGCUAACUAUGUGCCAGCAGCCGCCGUAA